GAUGAACGCUGGCGGCGUGCCUAAUACAUGCAAGUCGAGCGAACGGACGAGAAGCUUGCUUUUCUGAUGUUAGCGGCGGACGGGUGAGUAACACGUGGAUAACCUUCCUAUAAGACUGGGAUAACUUCGGGAAACCGGAGCUAAUACCGGAUAAUAUUUUGAACCGCAUGGUUCAAAAGUGAAAGACGGUCUUGCUGUCACUUAUAGAUGGAUCCGCGCUGCAUUAGCUAGUUGGUACGGUAACGGCUUACCAAGGCAACGAUGCAUAGCCGACCUGAGAGGGUGAUCGGCCACACUGGAACUGAGACACGGUCCAGACUCCUACGGGAGGCAGCAGUAGGGAAUCUUCCGCAAUGGGCGAAAGCCUGACGGAGCAACGCCGCGUGAGUGAUGAAGGUCUUCGGAUCGUAAAACUCUGUUAUUAGGGAAGAACAUAUGUGUAAGUAACUGUGCACAUCUUGACGGUACCUAAUCAGAAAGCCACGGCUAACUACGUG
RNAcentral lists this ribosomal RNA (497 nucleotides) under uncultured bacterium. RNAcentral describes it as "partial 16S ribosomal RNA". It matches the Rfam family "Bacterial small subunit ribosomal RNA", at positions 28 to 507 of the family's 1533-position model. The record is from RNAcentral.